UGUGUGUGUGUGUGUGUGUGUGUGUGUGUGUGUGUGUGUGUGUGUGUGUGUGUGUGUGUGUGUUGAGUGUGUAAUGUUCCUUUAUCUAACUUUAGGGUCAGCUGUGUUCAUUCUCAUUUUCUCAUUCUUCAUUGCCAGAUUUGGGAGAUUAUUUCAGCUGAAGGGGUUUUGUGACAUUUUACUCAACACAUUCUUACUCAGUGACUUAUGCAGAGGAGCCUAGAAAAACAACAGCUAUCACAUAGUGGUGGGGAGUCGUUUGUGUGCUACACUAAAGGCCAGGGAAAGAGACCACAUACUAAAGCAAGGCUGAGCUAACCGUUUUCCAGCAGCAUCUCCAGAAAUCACGCACAGAACAAGCAGUAUGGCUGGUGGCAUUGUCAUGCUGGAUGGUCAUGUCUGAAUGAGCCUGCAGGAAGAGUACCACAUGAGGGAGGAGGAUGUCUUCCCUGUAACGCACAGCGUUGAGAUUGCCUGCAAUGACAACAUGCUCAGUCCGAUGAUGCUGUGACACACCGCCUCAGACCAUGAUGGACCCUCCACCUCCAAAUUGAUCCCGCUCCAGAGUACAGGCCUCAAAACCGCGACUUGUCAGUGAAGAGCACUUUUUGCCAGUCCUGUCUGGUCCAGCGACGUGGGUUUGUGCCCAACGUUGUUGCCGGUGAUGUCUGGUGAGGACCUGUCUUACAACAGGCCUACAAGCCCUCAGUCCAGCCUCUCUCAGCCUAUUGCGGACAGUCUGAGCACUGAUGGAGGGAUUGUGCAUUCUUGUUGUAACGUUACUUAGCUAGCUACCUAGCCUCAAAUCAAAUAGCUAGCAUGCAGAUAUCCCCAAGUCCCAGUGACACAUAUACAAGACACCUGUCUGAUUCGUGCUGGGUGUACUGAUCCAGUCUAAGACAUGUGCUACUGAAAUUGUAUAUGGUUGUAUUACAUAAACAAUUGUGCAACACUAAUAAAAAUAAUAUUGUUUUAUAACAAAUGCGCUUUCUCCCUUGUCGGAUAGCGGUUUCUGAAACACAUCAGUGCGCUGUUGAAUUAAGACAGAUCCUGCUUCUGUUGCCUGUUUGAGUGAUUGUUUAAUAGCCUACUGAUUCCGUGAGCCCCAAGCCUCAAGUAAACAAUUUCACAUAUUCGGUUGUUUUUAAUCUUUGCUUUAAUGUAAUAA
RNAcentral lists this long non-coding RNA (1168 nucleotides) under Salmo salar (Atlantic salmon). RNAcentral's name for it is "lncRNA (ENSSSAG00000087591.1, ENSSSAG00020082476.1)". The record is from RNAcentral. Lineage: Eukaryota; Metazoa; Chordata; Actinopteri; Salmoniformes; Salmonidae.